GUGUUUCUGCCACCGGGUAGAGAAUCUUGAGCAUUCGAGUAUGUAUCGUUAGGUCUUAGAAGAUACAUGGCGGAUGCUUUUUUAUU
RNAcentral lists this non-coding RNA (86 nucleotides) under unclassified sequences. The record is from RNAcentral.